Molecule: non-coding RNA, 1833 nt
Organism: Danio rerio (zebrafish)
Lineage: Eukaryota; Metazoa; Chordata; Actinopteri; Cypriniformes; Danionidae
Source: Ensembl
AUGGUUUAAUCUAAUCAUUCAGAUAUUUAUCAUACAAACAUCUGAAUGGGCUAAACAUUGAAGAAAAUUACCAAACCGUCGGUCCCAUAUAGUAACAAGUUGAUUGUCAAGCCCUAGAACAAUAAACCGUGUGCAGGAACUGACCGCAGAGCAAAGGAUUUCCUGGGAAUUGGGCCAUAAAACAUCUGGUCUGGGUUCAUUGUCUGAUUCAGGAACAAAUUCAGAUAUCCUUUAUAAACAUGAACAACCCAUUUGUUUCAUUUAUUAAUUAAUGCAGUAUAACUCUUAGUUGCUGGUGUACCUUUCUCUUUAGGGGCCUUCAACAGAAGAUAUUGUAAGAGAUUACGACUGCCAUUCCACCACAGGCACACAGAAGUGGGAGUAUCUUUAAAAAUAACCCAAAGAAAUAUUACAAAUGAAUAUUCAUAGGACAGGCUUUCACAGAAGCGAUUGUUCUGUAAAGUGUGAUUACACAUCGCAAAGGCCCGAUCUAUUUUUGAAAAACGUACAUGUGAAAUAAUCUCUUGAGUUCAUGACUCACCUCCAGCUGCCUUCACUUCCCCAGGCACUGAAUGAAAACCUUCAUUAAAUAAGAAGUGACAAGUACAGUUGCUGUAAUGGAACAAAAAAAAAAGGCAAACUGUAACCAUUUGUGCAAUGUGGGAAAAUAGCCUCAGAAAUUAUUUUUAUAAAGCUGCUUUUGACACCUUUCUCAUUUCUCAUUUGACACACUGCAUGCUUAUAUCUGAUUUUUUUUACAAUUCAUUCCGUCACAAUAUUUAAAACAUAGUCAAAAAUUAACUAAAUAAUAAAAAAAUAAAUUAGUAUAAUUGUUUACCUAAAACAAGGAAUUGAAUAAAACUACGGGUUUAACUAAAAAUUAGAAACAAAUAAUGAUAAAUGGGGAUGUUGAUGAAAUUUUUAAGUGCAACUAUUUAGAGUGACGUGGUGGUGCAGUGGGUAGUGCUGUCGCCUCACUGAAAGAAGGUCGCUGGUUUGAGCCUCAGCUGGGUCAGUUGGCAUUUCUGUGUAGAGUUUGCAUGUUCUCCCCGUGUUGGCGUGGGUUUCCCCCACAAGUCCAAAGGCAUGCGCUAUAGGUGAAUUGGGUAAGCUAAAUUAUCUGUAGUGUAUGUGUGUGAAUGGGAGUGUAUGGUUGUUUCCGAGUGAUGGGUUGCAGCAGUUAAAUAUAUGCUGGAUAAAAUGGGGGUUCAUUCUGCUGUGGAGACCCCUGAUCAAUAACUAAGCUGAAAAUGAAUGAACGAAUGAAUGAAUAUCUUCCCCUAAUAUGGGAAAAAUCUCAUUUUACAUUAUAAAAGAAACAUUGGAAAAUCAUAUGGGUUUGGAAUCACUCAUCAAAAUUUUUGGUUAAUCAGUUUUAUUUUAGGGUAAAGCAUUAUUAUUGUUAUUGAGAUUUGUAUUGAGGUAACUAGUUAAUAAUUGUGAGACAAAUCAGAUGCACAGAAAUUGUGUUGUAUAGCCCUGUAGAUGUGCCACACUUAAAAAACUUCUUUGCAUAUAAUACUUUAUAACUUAAUUCAUAAUUGUGAAAUACAUUUGAUAAAUAUUUAAAAAAUGAUAAUGAAAUACACCUUGAUAAUGUUGAAAAACAUUGAAUUAUAAUAGAAUACCAAGCAAAUGUUGUACCUAAUGUGAAAUGGUCUAGUCCAUGUGUCUUUACUGUGUUUGUUUAAAAGCUGCUAUAAAGAUUUUCAUACAUCUGUAAAGGCCAGUUCACAAUGCACCAAACUGACUAAUUCUAAGACUUUUGUUUUUGUUGACACUUUUGUUGUUGGAUCAGUGUGUUAUACCAAUAAAUUUCUGUUUGCGUUGGUC